CGGGGUGCUAGGGUCAGUCUGUCACAUCUGGAGUAUUUCUCUUGUCUUUUCUGGUGUCCUGUGUGAAUUUAAAUAUGCUCUGUCUAAUUCUCUCUUUCUCUUUCUUUCUUUCUCUCUCUAGGACCAUGCCUCAGGACUACCUGGCUUGAUGACUCCUUGCUGUCCCCAGUUUACCUGGCCGUGCUGCUGCUCCAGUUCCAAUUGUUCUGCCUGCAGCUAUGGAACCCUGACCUGUUCACCGGACAUACUACCUGUCCCAGACCUGUUGUCCCAGACCUGCUGGAACGCUGACCUAUUCACCGGACGUGCUACCUGUCACAGACCUGCUGUUUUCAACUCUCUAGAGACAGCAGGAGCGGUAGAGAUACUCUCAAAGAUCGGCUAUGAAAAAGCCAACUGACACUUACUCUUGUGUUACUGACUUGUUGCACCCUCGACAACUACUAUGAUUAUUAUUAUUUGACAAUGCUGGUCAUUUAUGAACAUUUGAACAUCUUGGCCAUGUGCUGUUAUAAUCUCCACCCGGCACAGCCAGAAGAGGACUGGCCACCCCUCAUAGCCUGGUUCCUCUCUAGGUUUCUUCCUAGGUUUUGGCAUUUCUAGGGAGUUUUUCCUAGCCACCGUGCUUCUACACCUGCAUUGCUUGCUGUUUGGGGUUUUAGGCUGGGUUUCUGUACAGCACUUUGAGAUAUCAGCUGAUGUAAGAAACGCUUUAUAAAUACAUUUGAUUUGAUUUGACUUCUUCCGGGAACGUCGCAAUUACAACUGAAAACGAUGGUGACAAGUUUGGAUGCGACAACAGUUAAAAAGGACUGGAGACCACAGCAGCGAUUCUGCUCUUGCCCUACCUCUUCAAUGAGGACCCGAGUGGCCUUUAUGUCCGUGACAAGAUUUCACCGCUCUUCACUCCUUUAC
Molecule: long non-coding RNA, 915 nt
Filed under: Salmo salar (Atlantic salmon)
Lineage: Eukaryota; Metazoa; Chordata; Actinopteri; Salmoniformes; Salmonidae
Description: lncRNA (ENSSSAG00000084244.1)
Source: RNAcentral